RNAcentral lists this ribosomal RNA (1338 nucleotides) under Macroderoides trilobatus. RNAcentral describes it as "eukaryotic LSU rRNA". It matches the Rfam family "Eukaryotic large subunit ribosomal RNA", at positions 1 to 927 of the family's 3401-position model. Lineage: Eukaryota; Metazoa; Platyhelminthes; Trematoda; Plagiorchiida; Macroderoididae. The record is from RNAcentral.
CCGACCUCGGAUCAGACGUGAAUACCCGCUGAACUUAAGCAUAUCACUAAGCGGAGGAAAAGAAACUAACAAGGAUUCCCUUAGUAACGGCGAGUGAACAGGGAAAAGCCCAGCACCGAAGCCUGUGGCCAUUUGGUUACUAGGCAAUGUGGUGUUUAGGUCGUUCCGCAGAGGUUCUGCUCCACCCUAAGUCCAUCAAUGAGUAUGGUAGUAUGGACAUGGCCCGCAGAGGGUGAAAGGCCCGUGGGGGUGGAGACUCGUUUGGACAGAGCCUCUCUGGUUAGACCUUGGAGUCGGGUUGUUUGUGAAUGCAGCCCAAAGUGGGUGGUAAACUCCAUCCAAGGCUAAAUACUAGCACGAGUCCGAUAGCGAACAAGUACCGUGAGGGAAAGUUGAAAAGUACUUUGAAGAGAGAGUAAACAGUGCGUGAAACCGCUCAGAGGUAAACGGGUGGCGUUGAACUGCAAGCUUUGAGAAUUCAGCUGAUGAGUGUAGUUGAGCUUGGUCAAAUGGGUGAACUCCGGGGUCUGUGUAGUAGCAGGUCUUUGCCUUCGGGUGAGGAUGCGCGGUGCACUUAUCAAGUGUUGUGCGCUCCGGUUGUUCUUCGACUCGCUCGUCAGUGCACUUUCUCUUAGUGGUCACCACGACCGGCACCGCUGUCUGACUGCUUCGGUUAAACCGGUUUUGCAUAGCUCGCAAGGCUUUGCUUAAUCGGGAGGGCAGGUAGCUCGUUGACUUGCUUGUGGUUCGCUACAGGCGUUUGGUUUUCGAGUGUUAUUAGCUGACCGGAGUAGUUCUGUGCAGUGUGUCGGAGACGGCGGCUUGUGGUGCGUGCAUGCGUGCCUGUUCUGCUGACUUGUCCGAGUUUGGUUAUUAUGUUGCCUGUUCAAGCAGGCCUAGUGAUAGCUCGGAUUCGUUCGGUGGGCGGUUGCGUGUGUUGCACUUUUCAGGGCCAAUAGUCUGUGGUGUAGUGGUAGACUUCCACCCGACCCGUCUUGAAACACGGACCAAGGAGAGUAACAUGUACGCGAGUCAUUGGGCGUUACGAAACCCACAGGCGCAGUGAAAGUAAAGGUCUGACUUGUUCAGGCUGAGGUGAGAUCCUGUCGUUUCUCACGCGCGGUACUACCAAGCAUCGAGCGGCAGGCGCAUCACCGGCCCGUCCCAUGGCAGUUGUUUUCGGACAGUUCUCGGCCGGGGCGGAGCAUGAGCGUACAUGUUGAGACCCGAAAGAUGGUGAACUAUGCUUGCGCAGGUUGAAGCCAGAGGAAACUCUGGUGGAGGACCGCAGCGAUUCUGACGUGCAAAUCGAUCGUCAAACGUGAGUAUAGGGGCGAA